This 253-nucleotide ribosomal RNA is filed under the name uncultured bacterium. RNAcentral's name for it is "partial 16S ribosomal RNA". It matches the Rfam family "Bacterial small subunit ribosomal RNA", at positions 524 to 776 of the family's 1533-position model. The record is from RNAcentral.
UACGUAGGGGGCAAGCGUUAUCCGGAUUUACUGGGUGUAAAGGGAGCGUAGACGGCCAGACAAGUCUGAAGUGAAAAUCCAGCGCUUAACGCUGGAAGUGCUUUGGAAACUGCCGGGCUGGAGUGCAGGAGGGGCAGGCGGAAUUCCUAGUGUAGCGGUGAAGUGCGUAGAUAUUAGGAGGAACACCAGUGGCGAAGGCGGCCUGCUGGACUGCAACUGACGUUGAGGCUCGAAGGCGUGGGGAGCAAACAGG